AUUGAACGCUGGCGGCAGGCUUAACACAUGCAAGUCGAGCGGGGUGAUGGUGCUUGCACUAUCACUUAGCGGCGGACGGGUGAGUAAUGCUUAGGAAUCUGCCUAUUAGUGGGGGACAACAUCUCGAAAGGGAUGCUAAUACCGCAUACGUCCUACGGGAGAAAGCAGGGGAUCACUUGUGACCUUGCGCUAAUAGAUGAGCCUAAGUCGGAUUAGCUAGUUGGUGGGGUAAAGGCCUACCAAGGCGACGAUCUGUAGCGGGUCUGAGAGGUUGAUCCGCCAAACGGGGACUGAGACACGGCCCAGACUCCUACGGGAGGCAGCAGUGGGGAAUAUUGGACAAUGGGGGGAACCCUGAUCCAGCCAUGCCGCGUGUGUGAAGAAGGCCUUAUGGUUGUAAAGCACUUUAAGCGAGGAGGAGGCUCUUUUGGUUAAUACCCAAGAUGAGUGGACGUUACUCGCAGAAUAAGCACCGGCUAACUCUGUGCCAGCCGCCGCGGUAA
Molecule: ribosomal RNA, 503 nt
Filed under: uncultured bacterium
Lineage: Bacteria
Description: partial 16S ribosomal RNA
Rfam family: Bacterial small subunit ribosomal RNA
Source: RNAcentral